Molecule: non-coding RNA, 26 nt
Filed under: Mus musculus (house mouse)
Lineage: Eukaryota; Metazoa; Chordata; Mammalia; Rodentia; Muridae
Source: RNAcentral
GUAAGGUAUGAAUUUCCCUUGCUGCC